UACCAGCUCUCCGAGUGGUAGGGAUGAUUAUUGGGCUUAAAGCGUCCGUAGCUGGCUUAGCAAGUCUCCUGUUAAAUUCAGCGACUUAAUCGCUGAGCCGCGGGAGAUACUACUAGGCUAGGAGGCGGGAGAGGUCUACGGUACUUUCGGGGUAGGGGUGAAAUCCUAUAAUCCCGGGAGGACCACCAGUGGCGAAGGCUGUCGACUAGAACGCGCUCGACGGUGAGGGACGAAAGCUGGGGGAGCGAACCGGAUUAGAUACCCGGGUAGUCCCAGCUGUAAACGAUGCGGGCUAGGUGUUGGUGUGGCUACGGGCCACUUCAGUGCUGCAGGGAAGCCAUUAAGCCCGCCGCCUGGGGAGUACGGCCGCAAGGCUGAAACUUAAAGGAAUUGGCGGGGAGCACCACAAGGCGUGAAGCUUGCGGUUC
RNAcentral lists this ribosomal RNA (428 nucleotides) under uncultured archaeon. Its description in RNAcentral is "bacterial SSU rRNA". It matches the Rfam family "Archaeal small subunit ribosomal RNA", at positions 474 to 903 of the family's 1478-position model. The record is from RNAcentral.